CAGUUAAAAAUGUAGUUCCAAUAGUAAAACUGGAACAUUACCAAGAAUAUCUUACACAGCCACUGUGUAAGAAUGAUACACAAAUUUGUGAAGCAUUACAUAUUUUU
This 107-nucleotide small nuclear RNA is filed under the name Tupaia belangeri (northern tree shrew). Lineage: Eukaryota; Metazoa; Chordata; Mammalia; Scandentia; Tupaiidae. The record is from RNAcentral.